Molecule: ribosomal RNA, 253 nt
Filed under: uncultured bacterium
Lineage: Bacteria
Description: partial 16S ribosomal RNA
Rfam family: Bacterial small subunit ribosomal RNA
Source: RNAcentral
UACGUAGGGUGCAAGCGUUGUCCGGAAUUAUUGGGCGUAAAGAGCUCGUAGGCGGUCUGUCGCGUCGGAUGUGAAAAUCCAGGGCUCAACCCUGGACCUGCAUUCGAUACGGGCAGACUAGAGUUCGGUAGGGGAGACUGGAAUUCCUGGUGUAGCGGUGAAAUGCGUAGAUAUCCGGAGGAACACCGGUGGCGAAGGCGGCUUCCUGGACCGACACUGACGCUGAGGCGCGAAAGCUAGGGGAGCAAACGGG